This 87-nucleotide transfer RNA is filed under the name Alloalcanivorax marinus. RNAcentral's name for it is "Alcanivorax marinus tRNA-Leu". It matches the Rfam family "tRNA". From Rfam's summary of the family: Transfer RNA (tRNA) molecules are approximately 80 nucleotides in length. RNAcentral also lists the same sequence under 4 other names. The record is from RNAcentral. Lineage: Bacteria; Pseudomonadati; Pseudomonadota; Gammaproteobacteria; Oceanospirillales; Alcanivoracaceae.
GCCAGAGUGGUGGAAUUGGUAGACACGACGGAUUCAAAAUCCGUUGGGGUAAAACCCGUGCCGGUUCAAGUCCGGCCUCUGGUACCA